RNAcentral lists this ribosomal RNA (354 nucleotides) under uncultured bacterium. RNAcentral describes it as "bacterial SSU rRNA". It matches the Rfam family "Bacterial small subunit ribosomal RNA", at positions 917 to 1271 of the family's 1533-position model. The record is from RNAcentral.
GGGCCCGCACAAGCGGUGGAGCAUGUGGUUUAAUUCGAUGCAACGCGAAGAACCUUACCAGGACUUGACAUACUACGAAUUCUUCUGAGAAGAAGAAGUGCCUUCGGGAACGUAGAUACAGGUGGUGCAUGGCUGUCGUCAGCUCGUGUCGUGAGAUGUUGGUUAAGUCCCGCAACGAGCGCAACCCUCGUCCUAUGUUGCCAGCACGUAAUGGUGGGAACUCAUGGGAUACUGCCGGGGUCAACUCGGAGGAAGGUGGGGAUGACGUCAAAUCAUCAUGCCCCUUAUGUCUUGGGCUUCACGCAUGCUACAAUGGCCGGUACAGAGGGCUGCAAUACCGCAAGGUGGAGCGAA